This 373-nucleotide ribosomal RNA is filed under the name uncultured organism. RNAcentral's name for it is "partial 16S ribosomal RNA". It matches the Rfam family "Bacterial small subunit ribosomal RNA", at positions 527 to 896 of the family's 1533-position model. The record is from RNAcentral.
GGAAGGUGCGAGCGUUAAUCGGAAUCACUGGGCGUAAAGCACGCGUAGGCGGUUAGGUAAGUCAGAUGUGAAAGCCCCGGGCUCAACCUGGGAACUGCGUUUGAUACUGCCUGACUAGAGUGUGGUAGAGGGAAGUGGAAUUCCACAUGUAGCGGUGAAAUGCGUAGAGAUGUGGAGGAACACCAAUGGCGAAGGCAACUUCCUGGAUCAACACUGACGCUCAGGUGCGAAAGCGUGGGGGGGAGCAAACAGGAUUAGAUACCCUGGUAGUCCACGCUGUAAACGAUGUCUACUAGCCGUUGGGAGGGUUUGCCUCUUAGUGGCGCAGCUAACGUGAUAAGUAGACCCGCCUGGGAGUACGGCCGCAAGGUUA